RNAcentral lists this ribosomal RNA (497 nucleotides) under uncultured bacterium. Its description in RNAcentral is "partial 16S ribosomal RNA". It matches the Rfam family "Bacterial small subunit ribosomal RNA", at positions 28 to 507 of the family's 1533-position model. The record is from RNAcentral.
GAUGAACGCUGGCGGCGUGCCUAAUACAUGCAAGUCGAGCGAACAGACGAGGAGCUUGCUCCUCUGACGUUAGCGGCGGACGGGUGAGUAACACGUGGAUAACCUACCUAUAAGACUGGGAUAACUUCGGGAAACCGGAGCUAAUACCGGAUAAUAUAUUGAACCGCAUGGUUCAAUAGUGAAAGACGGUUUUGCUGUCACUUAUAGAUGGAUCCGCGCCGCAUUAGCUAGUUGGUAAGGUAACGGCUUACCAAGGCAACGAUGCGUAGCCGACCUGAGAGGGUGAUCGGCCACACUGGAACUGAGACGCGGUCCAGACUCCUACGGGAGGCAGCAGUAGGGAAUCUUCCGCAAUGGGCGAAAGCCUGACGGAGCAACGCCGCGUGAGUGAUGAAGGUCUUCGGAUCGUAAAGCUCUGUUAUUAGGGAAGAACAAAUGUGUAAGUAACUAUGCACGUCUUGACGGUACCUAAUCAGAAAGCCACGGCUAACUACGUG